GUUAUUUUGGCAGAUUAGUGCGAUGAAUUUAGAAUUCAUAUAUGUGAAUUUUUAC
This 55-nucleotide transfer RNA is filed under the name Percus stultus. RNAcentral's name for it is "tRNA-Leu". The record is from RNAcentral. Lineage: Eukaryota; Metazoa; Arthropoda; Insecta; Coleoptera; Carabidae.